Long non-coding RNA from Apus apus (common swift), 5901 nucleotides. RefSeq lists it as uncharacterized. The transcript has 4 exons. The record is from RefSeq and is a predicted model, not a curated record. NCBI's taxonomy places the organism in Eukaryota, Metazoa, Chordata, Aves, Apodiformes, Apodidae.
UGCCACUAGAUCUUACAGACUGGGCUCCUAUAGUAAUAUUAAGUCUCACACACUAACCCUGGUUUGUUAUUCUGUCUCUGGUGCUCUUAAUCUCUCUUUUGCAAACACCAUUGUCCAAAAGAGCAACAAACAAAAGUCUGAAAACGAAAAUGACCAAACUGUGCUGGUACUUCCAUCAGCUGUUAUCAUGCAGAAGUAGUUCUUGAGAUUCAGAAAUGCAAUGUAAUUCACCUGGGAUGAGAAAUCAAAUUUAAAAAUGAGCUGAACAGACAAUUUUAGGAAUAAGUAAGUUUCUAAAUAAACCAGCUUUUUAAUUCCACCUUUUCUAUAUUAGUACUGUAAAUCAAUAUAGUCUGCACUUGGAGAAAUGAGAUGAGUUUGAAUUGCCAUAAUUAAAUAUCAUCCUAUUUCUUGCAACACAGACAAACAAGGAAUUUUACUCCUGAUACAGGAGUUUUCUCAGGUAGGGAUAACUUGCUACAGCAAUGAUUUAAGCUCCAAGUGGUUCCAUAAUUUUUUAUAGAACAAUCCUCUUUCAAAACACGCAGCACAAUUCCUCCCUGGUGUCAGAGCACUGAAGGGAUGGAGUUAUACAAGAAAUUAUAUUGUUUAGAUGCUUUUUAAAAUACAAACAUAAUGAUGAUACAUUAAAUAAUGCCAUCUACUCAGCCAGACUCCUAAUUAUCUCCUUGUAAACUGUGUAUUCAUUCAUCACUUCAUUCACCUCAGCUGUAAUGCUGGUCAGUGUUAGACAUUAACACUGAGCCAUAAGUUUGAAUGGGAAGAAAAACAAGGAGAGUGCAAAGCUGUAUAUUAGCUUAGACAAGUAGGAUGUCAUUGCCAGACUGAAUUUGUUGAAUUUUUUGAUGAUACCAGGCAUUAAGCAAGUAAAUCUUUUGCCACUGAAGCAACAAUUCACCUACUUUCAGUAAUGACAUCCAGGAGGAAACGCAGUGGAUUUACAACAGAGAGUACCUAUACAUUAAUAAUAGCUAGUUAGCCCCAACCACAAAUUAGUGAUUCAAAAUGGAGGUUAGCAUUUUCCUUGAAAAAAACCCCAUAAUUUCUUAUUUUAUUCUUAUUUCAAAUGUUCAAGACCCUGGGUUUGAUUUUUUUUAAAUAUAUAUAUUUUUUUUUUGGUAGUAGGAAAGGAUUUUUGUCUGCAGACUAGCAAGCUCAAGGAAUCAUUUGGGUGAUUUCUGUUCUCGCCUAGCAAAGACUAUGGAGAUGUUCAGUGGUACACAAAAGCACCCAGGCCUUCUUGUGGGCUGUGGAUUGUUCCCACUUGUACCAGAUACCAGUGAACUAUAGUGGUUUCUCCUAAAUCACUGGACACGGCAGAUCUGCACAUGGAAGGUGACCUCAUGUGCUGAAAACAGAAGGUGUUGAGCAGCCAGCAUAGUUCUUUGUCUCAGCUAAAUUAUUUGGCUUCCCUUCUGCAGGAUUUUCUUUCCAUACGUCCUGAUUCUAUCACCUUUUCCCCUAAUAAAUGUGAAUGAGUACUCUAUAGGUGUAACUACAAUAAUACUAGUUCUUUUGCUGCAAAUACUGGAAGCCUGUAACCUGUAAUUCACUUUUCCUGAUGCUCUUCUAUUCUAACACUAGACAUGUUAUUUUAAAAUUUCUAGGACCUGAAAACUAAUUUUAUAUAGCUAUACAUAAUAGCAAUGGAAAUCAAGCCUUCUCCUUAUCUUAGUCUUUAGAGCUAUGUUGCAUCUCUUUGUCAAUUGGUGCCUUGUUCACCUCUAAAUAUCAUAUCCACCACUCCCGUAAUGAUUCCAAUAUCAGAGCUGAACAGGAAGAAGCAAGAUAUAUCUCCAUCUGUUUAAUUUAAGGGAUGGACCUUAACAGGACCAUGAUUGGAAGGCAUGGGGACCGUGCACACGGAGAGACUAUUGAUGCAGCUGGUUCCUGGACUGGGAGCCACCACUGGGCAUUGGUUCAACUCCCAGUCACAAGCUCCGAGAAGCUGAAGAAACACCACAUGAACAGUUCCUGUCCUGGCUCCUCCCCCUCAGUCCUUUGUGUUGUAUGAAUCUCUGAGAAGCAAGCCAACAUGACUGCAUGACCAGGUGAUUGGUCCUGUUACAGCCCAUACCUGAAACACAGCAGAAUGUUUCAUCCUUUGCUUCUGCAGUGCCUGCUGCACCUGAAAAUGGAACCAUUCUGCCUGAGGAUUUCCAUGUGGGUCUAGGGAGAACUGCAGUCACACACCACUGUGAGUUGUGCAGACUUGGAUUUCUUGUCUGCAGGAGAAGCACAGCCUGGUUUGCUACAAUGCAGCUGUCUUCAUUAAUGUUCUUCAAGCCCUGAUGUACCAGGACCACUGCCACCGGGUAAGAAGUUGGUUGAAUUUUCCAGACUCAUUCUCUUGGCUUAAGAAUGUUAAAUUGGGUGAUAAUGAGUAGUAACCGUGUCCCUUUUUAUGGUGAAGUUGACACUUGCCUUCUAGUAAACAGACACAGGGAUGAUCCUUAUUUUGCACAGGUCACCAAACAGCCCCUGGGAUGGGAAGGGUUAUUGGCCAUUUACCAAACACUGUUUGACUUGGGUUCAUGGGUGAGAGAUGAAAGGCUCUAUAUUGCAUUACCCAUCCCUGGGGCCAGCCAGUCCCCCUAAAGAAGCAUUUCAUUUACCAAGGCAACUGCUGGCCCAUGGGAAUCAGAGAGUUAAGAAAAAGGGGACGAGGUUUCAAUUGCAAAUGCUUCCUGAGGGCAAAUGUCUUAAAGUCACAGGGAAACUCACUGCUUCAGUGUCAAAAUUGUUGCUGCAGGACACUUAAUGACCAGCAGAUUUUUCCCAUAAUUGAUCUCCCCUUCUUCCCACCAAAACAUCCGUUAGGUUACUUGGGGUGUUUCUGCCUCUGCUCUAUUCACUUCUGCUCCAUCUCCCUGGGGGAGAUGCCCCAUAGCUGGGGCAAGCCCAGUGAGCAGGUAUGAACUGUUACCUUUGCUAAAAGCAUCAGAGUUUGGGCAGCAAGAGCCUUCUCCAGUUCCCAGAUGAAACCAGCAGCCCUGGUAUCACACUUAGAGGUGCCAGGAGCUUGGGAGGAGCGAAGCCUUCUGAACUUCCCAAAAUUUUUAAAAAUCCUAAAGCAGAGAUGCUGGUUGAUUUUCUUGGCUAUAGUGGAGUGGUCCUUACUAUGGGAGUAGUUCAAGUGCUGCCUUUUUACAGAUGAUGGAUGCAGUGCUUAAUGUUACAAUGGUUGCAGGAAGGAGAACAUCGGCUGCUCAGAUAGACCAGGUAUUCAACCUGGACCCAUCCUGAAUUUCUUAUGAUCUCAAAAUCCAGUGUUUUUCCAAAUUCAUUAGCACUGGUCAGAAUCUUUUUCCACUUUUCUGCCUUGCUGUUUGUGAUGUGAAUCAGGAGAUGUCCAGAAGUUGCAUUUGUUGUUUGAUAGUUUUACACCAUGGUUGUAACAGGGCAUCUGUCAAGUCAGCAGUUCUCUCUGUGUUGGUUUAUUUAUGUAAUACACCAUUUCCAGCAAGUUCUUGUUACCCAGUUCCUGCUGACAACCAGGGAACAGGCACAAGUCAACUGAGAAAAUGAACGACCAGAAGGUAAGUGGAAAGAAUAGUAAAUGCAGGCCAUUCAUGUGACAGGAUCCGAUUCAUUUUUAUGCCAGGGAGAUUUUUUAAAUGGGACUUCUCCCAGUGGAGAGCUCACAAUGCUCAAGGCCUGAUUCACUACAAAGACAAUACAUAAUUAUUCAGAGCUUAUUAUUAUUUUUUAUCACUCUUUUUUCAGUCACAUGGGGUGAGGGCACAGAUGAGAUCAGGACCUAGUUUAUUGCCCUGCACAGUACAGACUGUACCCUACCCUGCACUGUAAAAUCUCUAUAAAAGGUGCUAACCCUCUGCUUUAUGGAGGCAGGUAAAUGCACCCAGGCUGAAGGUUGAAGUCACUGGUCUAAGAUGGCAGAACCCAUCAGCAGCAAAAAUGGGCACUCAGCCUGAAACUAUCCUGGGAUGCUGCUACUCCUUGCUUUAGACUUCUUUUCUUUUUACCUUUAUUUUGAUUCACUGAAAUGAUGAAUCAAAUUAAAUGCCAUGUCCUUUGAAGCACUAUUUAUUGUGUUUAUAGAAAACUGAUUAUCUGUUCUCUCAGGCUAGUGGAGAUUAAGAGCGAUAAACUCAUCAGGAAAAAAUGCAGGUUGGGUGUGACAGGGAAACUUGUGUUUUAUUCCACAAAACCACCUUAGUGUCUGGUUGUGGUGUGUCAGACUGUGCGGUCUGACGGAUGCUGUGCCAACCUGUUCUCUGCUUUCAGGCUGGGCCCACAGGUUGGAUUUGGGUGAAGCAACUUUCAUGCAGAUAUGCCACUGAAAUAUGAAUACUAUGCCAGAGUACACUGCAGCUCUGGCCUGAGGUCCCACCGUGAAGCAAUGAGGUGACAAACCGGUUUCCUUUCUCGAGCCGAUUGUCACGUAGCUGCCCAGGGGCCUGCUUUGGUGGCUGCAGAGUCCCCUGACUUUUCAAGGACAUAUAUGCUAGUGUGACCCAUUCUCACCCUGUAUGCUUGGCAGGCGACAAAACUGCUCAUUUCCCUUGGUGGCAUUUCUCAGCCAGGAAACCAUGAGGCACCAGACUGUAGGCUGGGGGACAUCAGGGCAGCCACUUACUAGACACAGAGAAACCUCCAAGUACCAUUAAGUGAAGAUCAAUUCCCAGGGCUAAAGCAAGCUAGUAUUAAGGUCAACUCAGUCCAGGCCAAAAGAGUAGGGCAAAGUCCUUGUCUCUACUCCAAGUCUAUUCCUCUACUGAUUGUGAAGAGGCAUUUCUAGUAGCUCAGGAUCUUGAACACAGCCUGGCCUACCAGCUGAAGCUGUACCAACUAAAUCAUAUAUUGCCCAACAACAGAUAAAACCAAUGGUCAAUUUUAGCCUAAUCAUCACUUCUGCCAGAAGAAAGAGAAACUCUUUGAGGUAAGUUUCCUUGGAUAUAAUUCUUUCUUUCCAGGUUAAAGAACGGCUGCACCUAGUACAUAUCCUGAGCUGUAAUGUGGAUUUGCACCUUUCCUGUUAAAUAUAACUGGUUCAUGUCCAAAACAUCACUUCUAUUCCUAAUGCUCACUUACAUCCUUACAACUUCUACAUUAGUUGCAGGUGUGAAACGCCAACUGAUCCACACUUCUCUUGCUGUCAGCAGGAGAAUAAUGUAUGUCAAAGGCCCGAUUCUCAGCAGUGAGGUCACCAGGAUCUCCAUUUGCACAUCUGCUUUGCUGAACACAAACUCUGGAAAUUUGCAAGGCUCCAAGAUGCACAGAAUGGGACGAGGUCACUGGGGGCUAUACAUAAGAAACUAUUUGUGCUUCCCAUUUAGUAGGCAUGUCACAGAAUUUGCUCUCUGUACAAAAUAUUUGCUGUUUUACAACAGACUGCAUUUUGAUGGCCUUCGUAUGUUCUAUAUUAAUAAGGAAAAAAGCUAUACUUCUCCAUGUUACAUGACACAAGAGAAGUCAGGAUGGCAACAGGUUAAAGAAGAACCUAAUACAUUACGCAGCUUCAGAAAGUUAGUCCUAUUCCAUGUAUUCCUGUUUGGACUGGGCAGAUGUUGAGACCAAGAGAGAGCCUGAUCAGGGCUCCUGGAGGGAUGAUGCUCCUGGAGACUGCCUUGCACAGAGGCACCCAGAUUUUGUUUUGAGGGCUUUAAGAGAAGCAUUCAAAUAUUUCUACUUUGGGCAGCUAGUGGUUUUUAUUCAUACCUUGGAAAAAGUCUUCUGAUUGUCAUGUGUUUGCACUGGAUGCAUGGAUAGUUGUUCUUGCACAGAUACCUCUAAUACACAGUAUUUUCACCUUCUCUUUUUUUACAUGAGAUCAAAGACUAGUAAUAUAUACAUACAUAUGCCCAUUUCUUUCUUGAUUUCUGCUAAUCUAGAAUAAAUAAAGAUUCACACAAGUAA